Molecule: ribosomal RNA, 540 nt
Filed under: Liopterus atriceps
Lineage: Eukaryota; Metazoa; Arthropoda; Insecta; Coleoptera; Dytiscidae
Description: SSU rRNA
Rfam family: Eukaryotic small subunit ribosomal RNA
Source: RNAcentral
UGUCUCAGUACAAGCCACAUUAAGGUGAAACCGCGAAAGGCUCAUUAAAUCAGUUAUGGUUCCUUAGAUCGUACCCACAUUUACUUGGAUAACUGUGGUAAUUCUAGAGCUAAUACAUGCAAACAGAGUUCCGACCGGAGACGGGAGGAAUGCUUUUAUUAGAUCAAAACCAAUCGGCGGCGGGCGCGUUUCACGCGUCUCUCGCCGCUCAACUUGGUGACUCUGAAUAACUUUCGGCUGAUCGCACGGUCUNGAACCGGCGACGCAUCUUUCAAAUGUCUGCCUUAUCAACUGUCGAUGGUAGGUUCUGCGCCUACCAUGGUCGUAACGGGUAACGGGGAAUCAGGGUUCGAUUCCGGAGAGGGAGCCUGAGAAACGGCUACCACAUCCAAGGAAGGCAGCAGGCGCGCAAAUUACCCACUCCCGGCACGGGGAGGUAGUGACGAAAAAUAACGAUACGGGACUCAUCCGAGGCCCCGUAAUCGGAAUGAGUACACUUUAAAUCCUUUAACGAGGAUCAAUUGGAGGGCAAGUCUGGUG